This 1191-nucleotide long non-coding RNA is filed under the name Mustela putorius furo (domestic ferret). RNAcentral describes it as "lncRNA (ENSMPUG00000030750.1)". Lineage: Eukaryota; Metazoa; Chordata; Mammalia; Carnivora; Mustelidae. The record is from RNAcentral.
GCACGGCUCUGUCGCAGCUCCAGGCCUGACUCAUCUUCAUGCUCGGCUUGCGUGAGUGAACGCUGCUGGGAGAGGGCUUUUAGGGCGCAAAGCUGAGUCUGCCCAACAUGCCACUUCGUCAGGAUAACACAUCAUCGUGGUCCCGUGGAGAGAGCUCCGGACCCUGCUUCGGGCUUUGGCGGUGUCCAGAGCGAGCUGCGGGAGCCCAGCCACGACGCAGCCAUGCUGUGGGCCUCAGUUUCCCCCUUCCUGCAGAGGUCAAGGCGGUCUCUUCUGUCUAGCCAUAAGCCCUGGGAGACAGUGCGGCACAUAAAACACGCCCCCUCCCAGAGCUUCCAGUCCACUUCCCCACUCCGUGCCCUUGGAGCUCACGAAUUCUUGUCUUCUGUGGGCAGUGAACACGGAAAUCUGCAGGGAGUUUGAAUGAACUCGUGGAUGAGGUAGGGGAUAACGGGGAAGAAAGCGGGACUGCCGGAUGAUCCCAGUAUGCAAGCAUUUCCCAGACGUCUGUGGGAUAGGGGUCCAGGCAUGUCAUUUCUGCUGAUGGAAGCUUCAAAUUGUUUAGGUAUGUCUAAGAAAGUGGGACCCCGGGUGGCUCAGUCGGUUAAGCAGCUGCCUUCAGAUCCGGUCAUGAUCCUGGAGACCCAGGAUCGAGCCCGGCAUCAGGUCUCGGAGCCCUCUCCCCAGAAGCUCACUGCUUUCCAUCAGCUCCUGGAGGGCAGAACUUCCCUGGCACAGGUGUCCGGCCCAGAAGCUUCUGAAGAAAUGGGACAGGAACUGAAGGAGAAGCUCGCUUGCCCGCUGGUCAGGAAUGCACAUCCUUGUGGGACCGCACUGGCUGCCCUUCUCUUUGGGGGGUGGGCUGCCUCUUUAAGAAUAAAAAUGAACUUGGUCAAUUAGCUGAGUAAAAACAACUUUUUCCUUCCAUGCACCCUGUGGCUGAUGCAGAUUCACUCUUCAGUUUCCGGUCCCGCCUGAGGCACACGUGGGUCCAGAAAGUUCUUCCUGGGGGCUGCUGUUGAAGGUCUUGCUCCCAGCCUUUUUUCUUCCUACUCUGGGCCUUCCCCAGCCACUCCUUCUUAGCUCCCUGGACGAAGAAAUCACAUUUUAUAUAGUGCUGACCCUUGCACAACACGGGUUUGAUCUUCAUGGGUCUGCUUGUAUGUGGAUUUUUUUUUUUUUAAUGAAUAC